Gallus gallus (chicken) is the source of this 1079-nucleotide long non-coding RNA. The record is from Ensembl. NCBI's taxonomy places the organism in Eukaryota, Metazoa, Chordata, Aves, Galliformes, Phasianidae.
GCCUACAGGAAGCGGCGUGGGUGAGGCGGCGUGGUGGCUAAAUCCACAGCGGGACUUCUGUGAUGUUACACUGCUGUACGCAUGCGCUCUCUGCCAGCUGCUCCAUGGCAGGUCAGUGGGUGCCCCACAGGAGGUGUGAAGCCAAAGCAUCACAUUGCUGAAGAACUGCAGCAGGAUGGGAGGGAGCAUCUGUGCCAUGGAAGAGCCUCGUGGUUAGGACAUGGCUUUGAAUCCUCUCAAGGGGAGGGAACCCAAUGUGGGUCCCUCACAUCCUGAAAGUGCUCUGUGGCUGCUGUGCUCUGGGUUAAGCUGCUGGGCUCUACUCCUCUCAGCAGUCACCCUUCCUGGUGGAAUGCUUCCAAGGCACAAAGCAGAGGAACAGUUGGAUCUGUGCACUGAACACUUCCUGAGCAAGGCUGAGACCCCAGGGCUGGGUGGUAUAGACAGGAGAGCUAAGAGGGAUGGCACCAGAGGAGUCUGAGUUCAAAUCCAAUGGGGUUUCAAUUCCAGCAGGAUUAGGAGACAGCUGCCUCCAGUUAAGGAGUUUCAAGGAACAUGAUUUUGGACUAAAGUUCUUAACUUUUCUCACUUCGAUUACAUCUGGCAACUUGGAAAUACUACCAUUCUUAUUCCACAUAAAAGUGAAUCAGCAAGAAAGUGUUGGAACUUAUCUCUGAGAUUUUAUUUUAUUUUUUCCAUUUGUAGUGCUCCUAAAAUUCAUGGGACCCCAGAGAGGACACUUUUCCAUGUCUGUUUAUUUUUCUCCAGUAAUGCACCACUGAGAAAUGUUGUUAUGUGUGUUUUGACAGUGCAGAUCCUCCUUCACAUUACCACCGUGGUUGUGUGCAGAGGUGCUGAGCAGAUUCUGAUCCCAUGGAUGAUGCUGGAAGUACCAAUUGGUGGAAAUCAUUCCACACCAAAAGCAAGCAUGUUCAUGAGAGUAUGGGCUACUAAAUCUAUCUUCCUUCCUUCCUUCCCUCCUUCCCUCCUUCCCUCCUUCCUUCCUUCCUUCCUUCCUUCCUUCCUUCCUUCCUUCCUUCCUUCCUUCCUUCCUUCCUUCCUUCCUUCCUUCCUUCCUU